UGGGGAAUAUUGGACAAUGGGCGAAAGCCUGAUCCAGCCAUGCCGCGUGUGUGAAGAAGGUCUUCGGAUUGUAAAGCACUUUAAGUUGGGAGGAAGGGCAGUAAGCGAAUACCUUGCUGUUUUGACGUUACCGACAGAAUAAGCACCGGCUAACUCUGUGCCAGCAGCCGCGGUAAUACAGAGGGUGCAAGCGUUAAUCGGAAUUACUGGGCGUAAAGCGCGCGUAGGUGGUUCGUUAAGUUGAAUGUGAAAGCCCCGGGCUCAACCUGGGAACCGCAUCCAAAACUGGCGAGCUAGAGUAGGGCAGAGGGUGGUGGAAUUUCCUGUGUUGCGGUGAAAUGCGUAGAUAUAGGAAGGAACACCAGUGGCGAAGGCGACCACCUGGGCUCAUACUGACACUGAGGUGCGAAAGCGUGGGGAGCAAACAGG
RNAcentral lists this ribosomal RNA (429 nucleotides) under Pseudomonadota bacterium. RNAcentral describes it as "Proteobacteria bacterium partial 16S ribosomal RNA". It matches the Rfam family "Bacterial small subunit ribosomal RNA", at positions 355 to 776 of the family's 1533-position model. The record is from RNAcentral. Lineage: Bacteria; Pseudomonadati; Pseudomonadota.